Mus pahari (shrew mouse) is the source of this 161-nucleotide small nuclear RNA. RefSeq annotates it as U1 spliceosomal RNA. NCBI's taxonomy places the organism in Eukaryota, Metazoa, Chordata, Mammalia, Rodentia, Muridae. The transcript has a single exon. The record is from RefSeq and is a predicted model, not a curated record.
AUACUUUACUGCCGGGGAGAAGCCAUCAUCAGGAAGGUAGAUUUCCCAGGUCAAGGCUUAUCAACAGUUCUCUGAAUGUGCUGACUCCUGCAAUUUCCCCAAAUGUGGAAAAUGCCACUCCAUAACUGUGACAGCAAGGAACUGAGUUCACACUUUCCUCU